This 617-nucleotide long non-coding RNA is filed under the name Phaseolus vulgaris (common bean). Its description in RNAcentral is "long non-coding RNA (PVUL_LNC002288)". The record is from RNAcentral. Lineage: Eukaryota; Viridiplantae; Streptophyta; Magnoliopsida; Fabales; Fabaceae.
GCCCUGUCCAACCAAUUUCCACGGAGCCAAAGAGUCACAUCAUAGUCAAGCAAGCACCCAAACUUCCACCAGCACACAAAUCAAUAAACAAGACCCAGGAACAAAUUCAAGGCAACAAAUAAACCUAUUUUUGCGGUAACGUUUUCUAGCCUUCAACGUAGGUGUCCUAAAGGAUGUACUAUUCGUUACCUGUGCCUUAAAUUUGCAUGGAAUCAACGUCAUAACAAUUCAUUGCAACUUAAAAAUUUCUUCCUAUGGAUGAAAGAAAAUAAGAAAGUGAAAUGAAUUAAGAUUUUCACAAAAUUUAAAAUUUCUCCUAUAAGCACAGCUUUUAUAGAAACUCCCUUUUAACUGUAAAAGAAUUUUGAUUCAUUUUAUUUCCUAAUAUUUUUCUACAAAUACUUAUAAAUAAUUUGUCAAACUGAAAAAUGAACUCUGUUUUGCAAUUGUGUAUCUGCAUGCAAGCAGUGACUGAACAAAGAUUGAAGUUGUACCUGGUGGAGAAUGUUCCUCCGAGUGAGUUCAUCAAAAGCACGCACGAGGGCGUAAGCGCCGCCGAGAACACCAACGGUGGCUCCGGCAUUGUAGAGCAGAUCUUCUGCCGUGGCGGGGACGAC